UUUUGUGGGGUGCUCGAGUGGCGAACGGGUGAGUAACACGUGAGUAACCUGCCCUUGACUUUGGGAUAACUUCAGGAAACUGGGGCUAAUACCGGAUAGGAGCUCCUGCUGCAUGGUGGGGGUUGGAAAGUUUCGGCGGUUGGGGAUGGACUCGCGGCUUAUCAGCUUGUUGGUGGGGUAGUGGCUUACCAAGGCUUUGACGGGUAGCCGGCCUGAGAGGGUGACCGGCCACAUUGGGACUGAGAUACGGCCCAGACUCCUACGGGAGGCAGCAGUGGGGAAUAUUGCACAAUGGGCGGAAGCCUGAUGCAGCAACGCCGCGUGCGGGAUGACGGCCUUCGGGUUGUAAACCGCUUUCGCCUGUGACGAAGCGUGAGUGACGGUAAUGGGUAAAGAAGCACCGGCUAACUACGUGCCAGCAGCCGCGGUGAUACGUAGGGUGCGAGCGUUGUCCGGAUUUAUUGGGCGUAAAGGGCUCGUAGGUGGUUGAUCGCGUCGGAAGUGUAAUCUUGGGGCUUAACCCUGAGCGUGCUUUCGAUACGGGUUGACUUGAGGAAGGUAGGGGAGAAUGGAAUUCCUGGUGGAGCGGUGGAAUGCGCAGAUAUCAGGAGGAACACCAGUGGCGAAGGCGGUUCUCUGGGCCUUUCCUGACGCUGAGGAGCGAAAGCGUGGGGAGCGGACAGGCUUAGAUACCCUGGUAGUCCACGCUGUAAACGGUGGGUACUAUGUGUGGGGUCCAUUCCACGGGUUCCGUGCCGUA
This 760-nucleotide ribosomal RNA is filed under the name uncultured bacterium. RNAcentral's name for it is "bacterial SSU rRNA". It matches the Rfam family "Bacterial small subunit ribosomal RNA", at positions 78 to 850 of the family's 1533-position model. The record is from RNAcentral.